This 867-nucleotide ribosomal RNA is filed under the name Leptographium lundbergii. RNAcentral's name for it is "LSU rRNA". It matches the Rfam family "Eukaryotic large subunit ribosomal RNA", at positions 74 to 968 of the family's 3401-position model. Lineage: Eukaryota; Fungi; Ascomycota; Sordariomycetes; Ophiostomatales; Ophiostomataceae. The record is from RNAcentral.
AUUGCCCCAGUAACGGCGAGUGAAGCGGCAACAGCUCAGAUUUGGAAUCUGGUCCCCAGGGCCCGAGUUGUAAUCUGGAGAGGAUGCUUCUGGCGCGGCGCCUUCCGAGUUCCCUGGAACGGGACGCCGGAGAGGGUGAGAGCCCCGUACGGUUGGACGCCUAGCCUUUGUGAAGCUCCUUCGACGAGUCGAGUAGUUUGGGAAUGCUGCUCAAAAUGGGAGGUAAAUUUCUUCUAAAGCUAAAUACCGGCCAGAGACCGAUAGCGCACAAGUAGAGUGAUCGAAAGAUGAAAAGCACUUUGAAAAGAGGGUCAAACAGUACGUGAAAUUGUUGAAAGGGAAGCGCCCGUGGCCAGACUUGUGCCCCGCGGACCACCCGGCGCCCUCAGCGCCGGUGCACUCCGCGGGGCGCAGGCCAGCAUCGGUUUUCCCAGGGGGAUAAAGGCGGCGGGAACGUGGCUCCCUCGGGAGUGUUAUAGCCCGCCGCGCCAUGCCCCUGGGGGGACCGAGGACCGCGCUUCGGCAAGGAUGCUGGCGUAAUGGCCACCGGCGACCCGUCUUGAAACACGGACCAAGGAGUCAAGCAUUGGGGCGAGUGUCUGGGUGCCAAACCCGCACGCGAAAUGAAAGUGAACGCAGGUGAGAGCUUCGGCGCAUCAUCGACCGAUCCUGAUGUUCUCGGAUGGAUUUGAGUAAGAGCCUUACCGCUUGGACCCGAAAGAUGGUGAACUAUGCCUGUAUAGGGUGAAGCCAGAGGAAACUCUGGUGGAGGCUCGCAGCGGUUCUGACGUGCAAAUCGAUCGUCAAAUAUGGGCAUGGGGGCGAAAGACUAAUCGAACCAUCUAGUAGCUGGUUACCGCCGAAGUU